RNAcentral lists this transfer RNA (77 nucleotides) under Bacilli bacterium. RNAcentral's name for it is "tRNA-Arg". It matches the Rfam family "tRNA". From Rfam's summary of the family: Transfer RNA (tRNA) molecules are approximately 80 nucleotides in length. Their secondary structure includes four short double-helical elements and three loops (D, anti-codon, and T loops). Lineage: Bacteria; Bacillati; Bacillota; Bacilli. The record is from RNAcentral.
GGGGCGUUAGCUCAACAGGAUAGAGCAACGGCCUUCUAAGCCGUCGGUUAGGGGUUCGAGUCCCUUACGUCCCGCCA